GACGAACGCUGGCGGCGUGCUUAACACAUGCAAGUCGAGCGAGGCCCAUCCUUCGGGGUGGUGCCCUAGCGGCGAACGGGUGAGUAACACGUGGGCAACCUGCCCUCAGCUCUGGGAUAACUCCAAGAAAUUGGUGCUAAUACCGGAUGUGACCGCUGACCGCAUGGUCUGGUGGUGGAAAGAUUCAUCGGCUGAGGAUGGGCCCGCGGCCUAUCAGCUUGUUGGUGGGGUAAUGGCCCACCAAGGCGACGACGGGUAGCCGGCCUGAGAGGGUGACCGGCCACACUGGGACUGAGACACGGCCCAGGCUCCUACGGGAGGCAGCAGUGGGGAAUAUUGCGCAAUGGGCGAAAGCCUGACGCAGCGACGCCGCGUGAGGGAUGACGGCCUUCGGGUUGUAAACCUCUUUCAGUAGGGACGAAGCGAAAGUGACGGUACCUACAGAAGAAGCACCGGCCAACUACGUG
RNAcentral lists this ribosomal RNA (467 nucleotides) under uncultured bacterium. RNAcentral's name for it is "partial 16S ribosomal RNA". It matches the Rfam family "Bacterial small subunit ribosomal RNA", at positions 28 to 507 of the family's 1533-position model. The record is from RNAcentral.